GAUGAACGCUGGCGGCGUGCUUAACACAUGCAAGUCGAACGAUGAAGCUCAGCUUGCUGGGUGGAUUAGUGGCGAACGGGUGAGUAACACGUGAGUAACCUGCCCUUAACUCUGGGAUAAGCCUGGGAAACUAGGUCUAAUACCGGAUAGGAGCGCCUACCGCAUGGUGGGUGUUGUAAAGAUUUAUCGGUUUUGGAUGGACUCGCGGCCUAUCAGCUUGUUGGUGAGGUAAUGGCUCACCAAGGCGACGACGGGUAGCCGGCCUGAGAGGGUGACCGGCCACACUGGGACUGAGACACGGCCCAGACUCCUACGGGAGGCAGCAGUGGGGAAUAUUGCACAAUGGGCGAAAGCCUGAUGCAGCGACGCCGCGUGAGGGAUGACGGCCUUCGGGUUGUAAACCUCUUUCAGUAGGGAAGAAGCGAAAGUGACGGUACCUGCAGAAGAAGCACCGGCUAACUACGUG
This 466-nucleotide ribosomal RNA is filed under the name uncultured bacterium. Its description in RNAcentral is "partial 16S ribosomal RNA". It matches the Rfam family "Bacterial small subunit ribosomal RNA", at positions 28 to 507 of the family's 1533-position model. The record is from RNAcentral.